GAUGAACGCUGGCGGCGUGCUUAACACAUGCAAGUCGAACGGUGAAGCAGGAGCUUGCGCUUGUGGAUCAGUGGCGAACGGGUGAGUAACACGUGAGCAACCUGCCCCUGACUCUGGGAUAAGCGCUGGAAACGGCGUCUAAUACUGGAUAUGUGAUGUGACCGCAUGGUCUGCAUCUGGAAAUCAUUUCGGUUGGGGAUGGGCUCGCGGCCUAUCAGCUUGUUGGUGAGGUAAUGGCUCAUCAAGGCGUCGACGGGUAGCCGGCCUGAGAGGGUGACCGGCCACACUGGGACUGAGACACGGCCCAGACUCCUACGGGAGGCAGCAGUGGGGAAUAUUGCACAAUGGGCGGAAGCCUGAUGCAGCAACGCCGCGUGAGGGAUGACGGCCUUCGGGUUGUAAACCUCUUUUAGCAGGGAAGAAGCGAAAGUGACGGUACCUGCAGAAAAAGCACCGGCUAACUACGUGCCAGCCGCCGCGGUAA
RNAcentral lists this ribosomal RNA (484 nucleotides) under uncultured bacterium. Its description in RNAcentral is "partial 16S ribosomal RNA". It matches the Rfam family "Bacterial small subunit ribosomal RNA", at positions 28 to 523 of the family's 1533-position model. The record is from RNAcentral.